GAAAGGAAUUGAAUCCAUUUGCUCUGUCUACCAGGCUGGUCAAUAGGGCUACUGGGCAUGCUCUUCUUCUGGCCAUGGCCAUCCCUCCCUCUGAGAAAUUGAUGAAAUUAUUAUCAUGGAAAUUGGCGAUGCCUGAUGGGAGUGAGGCUGGAGACAGGUUGUCUGAGCCGACCGUUCACGUGGACAGCUCUCAGUUCAUGCUCCAUGCCUGGGCAGCGGAGGAGAGGCUGGAGGGGCAGAGGCUCAGAACAGAGUGGAUCCUUUUACAGUAAAGCUUCAUGUUCGGAGAUUAGAGACGUGGCCCCAAAGGGAUUCUUACCCACAUUUCACUCGCAUCAUGUCUGCCUGGCAUGGAAGUGCAGACAAAGGAGCUUAGAUGACCUUCAAGUUUCUAUGACCACUGAUCCAGAAGCUUGUGAAAAGAAGCAUGGAGUAGAGGAAGUCUAG
This 447-nucleotide long non-coding RNA is filed under the name Monodelphis domestica (gray short-tailed opossum). RNAcentral's name for it is "lncRNA (ENSMODG00000038586.1)". Lineage: Eukaryota; Metazoa; Chordata; Mammalia; Didelphimorphia; Didelphidae. The record is from RNAcentral.